RNAcentral lists this ribosomal RNA (253 nucleotides) under uncultured bacterium. Its description in RNAcentral is "partial 16S ribosomal RNA". It matches the Rfam family "Bacterial small subunit ribosomal RNA", at positions 524 to 776 of the family's 1533-position model. The record is from RNAcentral.
GACGAACCGUGCAAACGUUAUUCGGAAUCACUGGGCUUAAAGGGCGCGUAGGCGGGUCGGAUAGUCUGCGGUGAAAUCCUCCAGCUUAACUGGAGAACUGCCGUGGAUACUCCCGACCUCGAGGAGGGUAGGGGCAUCUGGAACAGCCGGUGGAGCGGUGAAAUGCGUUGAUAUCGGCUGGAACUCCGGUGGCGAAGGCGAGAUGCUGGACCCUUUCUGACGCUGAGGCGCGAAAGCCAGGGGAGCGAACGGG